GCAUAGUUGAGUAAUUGAUUGUCGGACUGCAUAUCAAUUACAAUUGAAUGUAAUUUUCCUGAUGAUAUUAGUCCCAAAUACAAAGGCUGAGGAACAAAUCUGAAUACACCAAGUGAUUUAUUUGCAUGUUUACUAUUUAUCUACUCAAAAUCUAUAUAUUCAACGGUUUAAUAGACUCGAAGAUUUUUAAUCAAGGCAUUUUAUUAAAUCAUAAUUACAAACUAUAUACCGUUCUCUGGAUUUUAGAUGAAAGUUUUUGAGCUUACGUUUUCGCUUCCAAAACUCCAAAUUCAUCCUUAUUUACCCACUCCAAUGAUGAUAAUAAUCACUCGCAUUCCAUAGUAGUCAAUGACAGUCAACCUACUAAAAUCAUUAACCAAUCAGACGUUCCCACAGACAACGUCGACAACAGCGCGUAAAUUCAAUCAAUCCUUCUGGUGAAAACUCGACUUACCAUGAAAGUUGAAAGCUCAAAAAACGUUUAACUGUAAUCCAGAGAAGCUAUAAAUUGGUAAAUAUUAUAAUUUAUUAUAAUAUUUACCGGCUAAGAGCCGUGUUGAUAUAACUCAAUAGCAAAGAGAUUGACGUAUUUUUCGCAAACGUCUAACCGCUAACCGCCAGAAACCAUGUGAACAGGAGCUUGCCGUCACGUUUGCCGUAAAUCGCUCACGUUUUAAACCUCAAGAGUGCAUUCUACAGGUAAAUGAUUUACCUCAGCAUUUUAUUCAACUGUUAUUACUUCAUUGCACGUAUAUGACAUAUAUUAAGACAAAUAUACAUCUUAUCUUUGAAUUGGAUGGAUAAAAGUUGUUUUUAACGUGAAAUUUUUCAUAUUCUGAGUGCUUUUAACCGAACCAUGUAUAAAUUCGAUAUAUUGACAACCUUGCGCCCAAUCGACUCUCUAAUUUAUUUGAGUUAAACAAACAUGAAAAUUUCGAUUGUCAGUUCAAUAUUUUGUGGCCGAUUUUGGUAUGAUAGAUUUC
Molecule: non-coding RNA, 983 nt
Organism: Paramuricea clavata
Lineage: Eukaryota; Metazoa; Cnidaria; Anthozoa; Malacalcyonacea; Plexauridae
Source: the annotation of a GenBank genome assembly